UGUUGGCAAAAGGCUUUGAGGACCUAAUAUCAAGUGUCUUCAGCUCCUGCUGCAGCUCAUCAGCAGUGAAAAGGGGACAUUUUUUCACGUGUAUGUUGUUUACCUGAGAGCAUUUCCACCGCAAGAUGUUACAGAGGAUUUCCAAAACAGGUGUGGCCCAUAUCCCAGCUUUGUCAGGCUUCCCGCCAAGCUCCUGCUGAGUACAUUAUCCUGCUUACCUUCUAAUAACAAUAAUUCUACUGUGGAGUUGCACUUGUCUUCAGGAUUCACCCUUCCUAUUGGCCUAAGAAGAUUGUCAAGAGGCUAUGAAGCAAAGCAGUAUGAAAGAUGUUAAUCUUGACUGAGCUAAGCAACAUCCUCAGGGAGAAGAACACAUCAGAAAAAGGAAGAUCAUCUUUCUGCACAGCAAUUGGACUCCAGUUUAUUAGAAAAACACCAUGGAAUUCAAGAAGCCCAGAUCUCCCCACC
Nothoprocta perdicaria is the source of this 468-nucleotide long non-coding RNA. RefSeq lists it as uncharacterized. NCBI's taxonomy places the organism in Eukaryota, Metazoa, Chordata, Aves, Tinamiformes, Tinamidae. The record is from RefSeq and is a predicted model, not a curated record. The transcript has 3 exons.